This 164-nucleotide non-coding RNA is filed under the name uncultured Cohnella sp. Lineage: Bacteria; Bacillati; Bacillota; Bacilli; Caryophanales; Paenibacillaceae. The record is from RNAcentral.
GCCGCGAGGCGGAAUCUGAAGGAAGCUGGAGGCAAAUGCACGAGCCAAGGUACACGAACUCAAUUUGAGGCAGGGUUAGUCGGAUGAGUCACCUACACAUGACGAAAUCCAAAGUCGCCAAGGGCUUUCCCUGUAAACUUGGGUGGUUGCGGGCAGAAAGAUGA